Molecule: ribosomal RNA, 253 nt
Filed under: uncultured bacterium
Lineage: Bacteria
Description: partial 16S ribosomal RNA
Rfam family: Bacterial small subunit ribosomal RNA
Source: RNAcentral
UACGUAGGGCGCAAGCGUUGUCCGGAAUUAUUGGGCGUAAAGGGCUCGUAGGCGGCCAACUAAGUCAGACGUGAAAUCCCUCGGCUUAACCGGGGAACUGCGUCUGAUACUGGAUGGCUUGAAUCCGGGAGAGGGAUGCGGAAUUCCAGGUGUAGCGGUGAAAUGCGUAGAUAUCUGGAGGAACACCGGUGGCGAAGGCGGCAUCCUGGACCGGCAUUGACGCUGAGGAGCGAAAGCCAGGGGAGCAAACGGG